AUCUUCUUUGAGGUAUGCUUAAGGAGGGGCUUGCGACACAUUAGUUAGUUGGCAGGGUAAAGGCCUACCAAGACUAUGAUGUGUAGCUGGACUGAGAGGUUGAACAGCCACAUUGGGACUGAGACACGGCCCAAACUCCUACGGGAGGCAGCAGUAGGGAAUUUUCGGCAAUGGAGGAAACUCUGACCGAGCAACGCCGCGUGAACGAUGAAGUACCUCGGUAUGUAAAGUUCUUUUAUUAAGGAAGAAAAAAGAGUGGAAAAACUCCCUUGACGGUACUUAAUGAAUAAGCCCCGGCUAAUUAUGUGCCAGCAGCCGCGGUAAUACAUAAGGGGCGAGCGUUAUCCGGAAUUAUUGGGCGUAAAGGGUGCGUAGGCGGUUUAAUAAGUCUAUAGUUUAAUUUCAGUGCUUAACGCUGUUGUGCUAUAGAAACUGUUUUACUAGAGUGAGAUAGAGGCAAGCGGAAUUCCAUGUGUAGCGGUAAAAUGCGUAAAUAUAUGGAGGAACACCAGAGGCGUAGGCGGCUUGCUGGGUCUUUACUGACGCUGAGGCACGAAAGCGUGGGGAGCAAACAGGAUUAGAUACCCUGGUAGUCCACGCCGUAAACGAUGAGUACUAAGUGUCGGGUAAAACUGGUACUGAAGUUAACACAUUAAGUACUCCGCCUGAGUAGUACGUACGCAAGUAUGAAACUUAAAGGAAUUGACGGGACUCCGCACAAGCGGUGGAUCAUGUUGUUUAAUUCGAAGAUACACGAAAAACCUUACCAGGUCUUGACAUUUUCUUGCGAAGUUAUAGAAAUAUAAUGGAGGUUAUC
Molecule: ribosomal RNA, 817 nt
Filed under: Candidatus Phytoplasma pruni
Lineage: Bacteria; Bacillati; Mycoplasmatota; Mollicutes; Acholeplasmatales; Acholeplasmataceae
Description: bacterial SSU rRNA
Rfam family: Bacterial small subunit ribosomal RNA
Source: RNAcentral